CUGAUGAGCACGCCGCGUGAGUGAUGAAGGCCUUCGGGUUGUAAAGCUCUGUCUUUGGGGACGAUAAUGACGGUACCCAAGGAGGAAGCCACGGCUAACUACGUGCCAGCAGCCGCGGUAAUACGUAGGUGGCAAGCGUUGUCCGGAUUUACUGGGCGUAAAGGAUGCGUAGGUGGAUAUUUAAGUCAGAUGUGAAAUACCCGGGCUUAACUUGGGUGCUGCAUUUGAAACUGUAUAUCUAGAGUGCAGGAGAGGUAAGUGGAAUUCCUAGUGUAGCGGUGAAAUGCGUAGAGAUUAGGAAGAACACCAGUGGCGAAGGCGACUUACUGGACUGUAACUGACACUGAGGCAUGAAAGCGUGGGGAGCAAACAGGAUUAGAUACCCUGGUAGUCCACGCCGUAAACGAUGAGUACUAGGUGUAGGGGGUAUCGACUCCCUCUGUGCCGCAGUUAACACAAUAAGUACUCCGCCUGGGAAGUACGGUCGCAAGAUUAAAACUCAAAG
This 505-nucleotide ribosomal RNA is filed under the name uncultured Clostridia bacterium. RNAcentral describes it as "bacterial SSU rRNA". It matches the Rfam family "Bacterial small subunit ribosomal RNA", at positions 383 to 906 of the family's 1533-position model. The record is from RNAcentral. Lineage: Bacteria; Bacillati; Bacillota; Clostridia.